GGACCUAUAGCUCAGCGGUAGAGCACCUGAUUCCAGUUCUUAGGCACCUCACACCUUCCGGUGAAGGGUCAUAUAAAACUGCAUCCAGGAGGUCAUCCGUUCAAAUCGGGUUGGGUUCA
This is a non-coding RNA of Nemania sp. FL0916, 119 nucleotides long. NCBI's taxonomy places the organism in Eukaryota, Fungi, Ascomycota, Sordariomycetes, Xylariales, Xylariaceae. The record is from the annotation of a GenBank genome assembly.